UACGAAGGGUGCUAGCGUUGUUCGGAAUCACUGGGCGUAAAGCGUGCGCAGGCGGAUGAGAAAGUCAGGGGUGAAAGCCCAGAGCUCAACUCUGGAAUUGCCUUUGAAACUACUCAUCUGGAGGCCGGGAGAGGAUAGUGGAAUUCCUAGUGUAGAGGUGAAAUUCGUAGAUAUUAGGAGGAACACCAGUGGCGAAGGCGACUGUCUGGACCGGUUCUGACGCUCAUGCACGAAAGCGUGGGGAGCAAAC
Molecule: ribosomal RNA, 250 nt
Filed under: uncultured bacterium
Lineage: Bacteria
Description: partial 16S ribosomal RNA
Rfam family: Bacterial small subunit ribosomal RNA
Source: RNAcentral